This 586-nucleotide long non-coding RNA is filed under the name Mytilus galloprovincialis (Mediterranean mussel). Lineage: Eukaryota; Metazoa; Mollusca; Bivalvia; Mytilida; Mytilidae. The record is from RNAcentral.
GUAAGAUUUAGGAGACUGAGUAAGAGCAAUGCCAGACCAGUUGGAUCUAGUACAAAGGAGAGUUUAUAUUCAUAUCAUAUAAUCAUGGUGUCUAUCUCAAUUUUCAUUUAAUUUGUCUCUGGACUAUGGUUCGAUUCAGUUAAGUAUCAAACAUUUGAUGUUAAAUUUAAGAUUAAUAGUAAUUGUGUAUAUAUAAACAAAACAAUAAUUGGGCAGUGUAUAUAAAAACAAAACAAUAAGAUGGCAGUGUAUAUAAAAACAAAAGUAAGUGGGCAGUGUAUAUAAAAACAAAACAAUAAGAUGGUAGUGUAUAUAAAAACAAAACAAUAAGUGGGCAGUGUAUAUAAAAACAAAACAAUGAGUGUGCAGUGUAUAUAAAAACAAAACAAUAAGUGGGCAGUGUAUAUAAAAACAAAACAAUGAGUGUGCAGUGUAUAUGAAAACAAAACAAUAAGUGGGCAGUGUAUAUAAAAACAAAACAAUAAGUGUUGUUACAGCCAAAAAAUGCCAUUUGAAUGGAAAGCAAAGGAUGAUAGGCAUUAAAGGUAGCUGAAUCUGUCUAAGAUCAGAUUUGCUUGUGGGAGCA